ACGCACCACUGGUGUACGGGUUGUGAUGCCAAUUGCAUUGCCCGGUAGCUAAGUGCGGAAGAGAUAACCGCUGAAAGCAUCUAAGCGGGAAACUUGCCUCGAGAUGAGUCUUCCCUGGGACUUUGAGUCCCCUAAAGGGCCGUUGAAGACGACGACGUAGAUAGGCCGGGUGUGUAAGCGCAGCGAUGCGUUGAGCUAACCGGUACUAAUGACCCGAGAGGCUUAACCUUACAACACCGAAGGUGUUUUAG
This 251-nucleotide ribosomal RNA is filed under the name Brenneria goodwinii. Its description in RNAcentral is "partial 23S ribosomal RNA". It matches the Rfam family "Bacterial large subunit ribosomal RNA", at positions 2701 to 2925 of the family's 2925-position model. Lineage: Bacteria; Pseudomonadati; Pseudomonadota; Gammaproteobacteria; Enterobacterales; Pectobacteriaceae. The record is from RNAcentral.